RNAcentral lists this ribosomal RNA (301 nucleotides) under uncultured bacterium. RNAcentral's name for it is "partial 16S ribosomal RNA". It matches the Rfam family "Bacterial small subunit ribosomal RNA", at positions 509 to 807 of the family's 1533-position model. The record is from RNAcentral.
CAGUCGCCGCGGUAAUACGAAGGGUGCAAGCGUUAAUCGGAAUUACUGGGCGUAAAGCGUGCGUAGGCGGUUUGUUAAGUCUGUUGUGAAAUCCCCGGGCUCAACCUGGGAAUUGCAGUGGAUACUGGGUCACUAGAGUGUGGUAGAGGAUAGUGGAAUUUCCGGUGUAGCAGUGAAAUGCGUAGAGAUCGGAAGGAACAUCUGUGGCGAAGGCGACUAUCUGGGCCAACACUGACACUGAGGCACGAAAGCGUGGGGAGCAAACAGGAUUAGAUACCCCCGUAGUCCCUGUCUCUUAUAC